This 1062-nucleotide ribosomal RNA is filed under the name Triticum aestivum (bread wheat). RNAcentral's name for it is "partial small subunit ribosomal RNA". Lineage: Eukaryota; Viridiplantae; Streptophyta; Magnoliopsida; Poales; Poaceae. The record is from RNAcentral.
AUGAGGCCGCCACAACCACCUACCACAUAUCCAUCUUCAGAGUUGUACUGUUGUAACGGCCUUGCCCGGUCUCGCUGCCGCCGACGCCACCACGACGCCAGACAGCAUCGACCUCCUACGCGUGUCCGUCACCACACAUCUGACGCCAAGCCUCCGCUGCUCCAUGCCGCCAAGAGCCGCCGCCAAGAAUAUGUAGAACGAAACACCGCUCCACCGAAGGGAGGCAGCACACCCCCACCCCUCACCUGCAGACCCUUCCAUCCGAUCCCAAUGUCCUUGGUGUCGCCUCCAGGAAGGUUACGGUGCACAGAGCGCCGCCGACGCCCGAUCCGCAUCGGAUCUUGGGCUUUCACCCGGACAUGGGUUGGAGAGGAGAGAUGGUGCCCUCAGCAACGCCCCCAAGGAGGAAAGCGGCGCCAAAAAUCGGCGUCGCCGCUGCCGGUCAGCCUAAGGCAGCCAAGGUUUCCCCCGGACACCGAUCUGCUCCACCAGAACACACCGGAGGUGGAUCCGGCAAGAUCCAAACCGAACCGGGGACUGGGAAGGGAUGCAUGGAAGGGAGAGGGGCAAUACCUCCAGAUCUGGCACGCCUACGGCUCGCCGUCCUCACGGCCGAACCCACGGGCACGCCGCACGCCACCAGAUGCGCCGCACCAGAUCGAUGAUGGCCAGCCUCAGCGCCGCCCCCCACUCUCCCGACGAGGGAGAGGAGGAAACAGCGCCGCCGCCGAGCCCGGGGCCGCCGCCCCGACUUGCCCGCGCCUGGCUAGACGCAGCCGCCGCCGGAUGCAGGCCUUCGUCCAGGGCCGAAGACUUGCGGCGUGCGACGAGGGUGCCCCGCCACCGCCGUCCGCCGAGUGGGCUUUGCCCGUCGGCCUCCUCCGGCGGUGGCAGGCGGAGCGAGGGAGGAAAGGGGAGCGGGGGCGGCGGCGGCUAGGUCGCCCGAGCCGCCCCCCAGGGAGCGACGCGAGCGAUACCCUUUUCUAUCUCGAGGAAAAAGCUUGGUCGCUGCUACAAGCGAGACGCUGCAAGGCCAGCCACCCGCGCAUAGGCCUCCGCUGA